UGACGCUUCGGUUGAUUUUAGAAAGUGGGAGCGGCGGACGGGUGAGUAACGGGUAGGCAACCUGCCCUUUGCAGAGGGAUANCCAUUGGAAACGAUGAUUAAAACCUCAUAACGCCUAAAUGAGACAUCUCUAACUGGCCAAAGAUUUAUCGGCAAAGGAUGGGCCUGCGUCUGAUUAGCUAGUUGGUGGGGUAACGGCCUACCAAGGCGACGAUCAGUAGCCGACCUGAGAGGGUGAUCGGCCACAUUGGAACUGAGACACGGUCCAAACUCCUACGGGAGGCAGCAGUGGGGAAUAUUGCACAAUGGGCGAAAGCCUGAUGCAGCAACGCCGCGUGAAGGAAGAAGGUCUUCGGAUCGUAAACUUCUGUCCUUAGGGAAGAUAAUGACGGUACCUUUGGAGGAAGCCCCGGCUAACUACGUGCCAGCAGCCGCGGUAAUACGUAGGGGGCAAGCGUUAUCCGGAAUUAUUGGGCGUAAAGAGUGCGUAGGUGGUUACCUAAGCAGGGGGUGAAAGGCAAUGGCUCAACCAUUGUUAGCCCCCUGAACUGGGCUACUUGAGUGCAGGAGAGGAAAGCGGAAUUCCUAGUGUAGCGGUGAAAUGCGUAGAUAUUAGGAGGAACACCAGUGGCGAAGGCGGCUUUCUGGACUGUAACUGACACUGAGGCACGAAAGUGUGGGGAGCAAACAGGAUUAGAUACCCUGGUAGUCCACACCGUAAACGAUGAGCACUAGGUGUCGGGGUCGCAAGGCUUCGGUGCCGCAGUUAACGCAUUAAGUGCUCCGCCUGGGGAGUACGUACGCAAGUAUGAAACUCAAAGGAAUUGACGGGGACCCGCACAAGCAGCGGAGCAUGUGGUUUAAUUCGAAGCAACGCGAAGAACCUUACCAGGACUUGACAUCCCGAUGACCGGUUCUUAACCGAACCUUCUCUUCGGAGCAUCGGUGACAGGUGGUGCAUGGUUGUCGUCAGCUCGUGUCGUGAGAUGUUGGGUUAAGUCCCGCAACGAGCGCAACCCUUGCCAUUAGUUGCCAUCAUUAAGUUGGGCACUSUAGUGGGACUGCCGGGGAUAACUCGGAGGAAGGUGGGGAUGACGUCAAAUC
Molecule: ribosomal RNA, 1104 nt
Filed under: uncultured bacterium
Lineage: Bacteria
Description: bacterial SSU rRNA
Rfam family: Bacterial small subunit ribosomal RNA
Source: RNAcentral